Molecule: ribosomal RNA, 2903 nt
Filed under: Escherichia coli
Lineage: Bacteria; Pseudomonadati; Pseudomonadota; Gammaproteobacteria; Enterobacterales; Enterobacteriaceae
Description: 23S ribosomal RNA
Rfam family: Bacterial large subunit ribosomal RNA
Source: RNAcentral
UUAAGCGACUAAGCGUACACGGUGGAUGCCCUGGCAGUCAGAGGCGAUGAAGGACGUGCUAAUCUGCGAUAAGCGUCGGUAAGGUGAUAUGAACCGUUAUAACCGGCGAUUUCCGAAUGGGGAAACCCAGUGUGUUUCGACACACUAUCAUUAACUGAAUCCAUAGGUUAAUGAGGCGAACCGGGGGAACUGAAACAUCUAAGUACCCCGAGGAAAAGAAAUCAACCGAGAUUCCCCCAGUAGCGGCGAGCGAAUGGGGAGCAGCCCAGAGCCUGAAUCAGUGUGUGUGUUAGUGGAAGCGUCUGGAAAGGCGCGCGAUACAGGGUGACAGCCCCGUACACAAAAAUGCACAUGCUGUGAGCUCGAUGAGUAGGGCGGGACACGUGGUAUCCUGUCUGAAUAUGGGGGGACCAUCCUCCAAGGCUAAAUACUCCUGACUGACCGAUAGUGAACCAGUACCGUGAGGGAAAGGCGAAAAGAACCCCGGCGAGGGGAGUGAAAAAGAACCUGAAACCGUGUACGUACAAGCAGUGGGAGCACGCUUAGGCGUGUGACUGCGUACCUUUUGUAUAAUGGGUCAGCGACUUAUAUUCUGUAGCAAGGUUAACCGAAUAGGGGAGCCGAAGGGAAACCGAGUCUUAACUGGGCGUUAAGUUGCAGGGUAUAGACCCGAAACCCGGUGAUCUAGCCAUGGGCAGGUUGAAGGUUGGGUAACACUAACUGGAGGACCGAACCGACUAAUGUUGAAAAAUUAGCGGAUGACUUGUGGCUGGGGGUGAAAGGCCAAUCAAACCGGGAGAUAGCUGGUUCUCCCCGAAAGCUAUUUAGGUAGCGCCUCGUGAAUUCAUCUCCGGGGGUAGAGCACUGUUUCGGCAAGGGGGUCAUCCCGACUUACCAACCCGAUGCAAACUGCGAAUACCGGAGAAUGUUAUCACGGGAGACACACGGCGGGUGCUAACGUCCGUCGUGAAGAGGGAAACAACCCAGACCGCCAGCUAAGGUCCCAAAGUCAUGGUUAAGUGGGAAACGAUGUGGGAAGGCCCAGACAGCCAGGAUGUUGGCUUAGAAGCAGCCAUCAUUUAAAGAAAGCGUAAUAGCUCACUGGUCGAGUCGGCCUGCGCGGAAGAUGUAACGGGGCUAAACCAUGCACCGAAGCUGCGGCAGCGACGCUUAUGCGUUGUUGGGUAGGGGAGCGUUCUGUAAGCCUGUGAAGGUGUGCUGUGAGGCAUGCUGGAGGUAUCAGAAGUGCGAAUGCUGACAUAAGUAACGAUAAAGCGGGUGAAAAGCCCGCUCGCCGGAAGACCAAGGGUUCCUGUCCAACGUUAAUCGGGGCAGGGUGAGUCGACCCCUAAGGCGAGGCCGAAAGGCGUAGUCGAUGGGAAACAGGUUAAUAUUCCUGUACUUGGUGUUACUGCGAAGGGGGGACGGAGAAGGCUAUGUUGGCCGGGCGACGGUUGUCCCGGUUUAAGCGUGUAGGCUGGUUUUCCAGGCAAAUCCGGAAAAUCAAGGCUGAGGCGUGAUGACGAGGCACUACGGUGCUGAAGCAACAAAUGCCCUGCUUCCAGGAAAAGCCUCUAAGCAUCAGGUAACAUCAAAUCGUACCCCAAACCGACACAGGUGGUCAGGUAGAGAAUACCAAGGCGCUUGAGAGAACUCGGGUGAAGGAACUAGGCAAAAUGGUGCCGUAACUUCGGGAGAAGGCACGCUGAUAUGUAGGUGAAGUCCCUCGCGGAUGGAGCUGAAAUCAGUCGAAGAUACCAGCUGGCUGCAACUGUUUAUUAAAAACACAGCACUGUGCAAACACGAAAGUGGACGUAUACGGUGUGACGCCUGCCCGGUGCCGGAAGGUUAAUUGAUGGGGUUAGCGGUAACGCGAAGCUCUUGAUCGAAGCCCCGGUAAACGGCGGCCGUAACUAUAACGGUCCUAAGGUAGCGAAAUUCCUUGUCGGGUAAGUUCCGACCUGCACGAAUGGCGUAAUGAUGGCCAGGCUGUCUCCACCCGAGACUCAGUGAAAUUGAACUCGCUGUGAAGAUGCAGUGUACCCGCGGCAAGACGGAAAGACCCCGUGAACCUUUACUAUAGCUUGACACUGAACAUUGAGCCUUGAUGUGUAGGAUAGGUGGGAGGCUUUGAAGUGUGGACGCCAGUCUGCAUGGAGCCGACCUUGAAAUACCACCCUUUAAUGUUUGAUGUUCUAACGUGGACCCGUGAUCCGGGUUGCGGACAGUGUCUGGUGGGUAGUUUGACUGGGGCGGUCUCCUCCUAAAGAGUAACGGAGGAGCACGAAGGUUGGCUAAUCCUGGUCGGACAUCAGGAGGUUAGUGCAAUGGCAUAAGCCAGCUUGACUGCGAGCGUGACGGCGCGAGCAGGUGCGAAAGCAGGUCAUAGUGAUCCGGUGGUUCUGAAUGGAAGGGCCAUCGCUCAACGGAUAAAAGGUACUCCGGGGAUAACAGGCUGAUACCGCCCAAGAGUUCAUAUCGACGGCGGUGUUUGGCACCUCGAUGUCGGCUCAUCACAUCCUGGGGCUGAAGUAGGUCCCAAGGGUAUGGCUGUUCGCCAUUUAAAGUGGUACGCGAGCUGGGUUUAGAACGUCGUGAGACAGUUCGGUCCCUAUCUGCCGUGGGCGCUGGAGAACUGAGGGGGGCUGCUCCUAGUACGAGAGGACCGGAGUGGACGCAUCACUGGUGUUCGGGUUGUCAUGCCAAUGGCACUGCCCGGUAGCUAAAUGCGGAAGAGAUAAGUGCUGAAAGCAUCUAAGCACGAAACUUGCCCCGAGAUGAGUUCUCCCUGACCCUUUAAGGGUCCUGAAGGAACGUUGAAGACGACGACGUUGAUAGGCCGGGUGUGUAAGCGCAGCGAUGCGUUGAGCUAACCGGUACUAAUGAACCGUGAGGCUUAACCU